UUAAUUAAGAGUUUGAUCUUGGCUCAGGAUGAACGCUGGCGGCGUGCCUAACACAUGCAAGUCGAGCGAGAAACAGCGGACGGAUCUUUUCGGAGAGAAGGAAGUUGUGGAAAGCGGCAGACGGGUGAGUAACGCGUGGGCAACCUACCCUGUACAGAGGAAUAGCCACUGGAAACGGUGAUUAAUGCCUCAUGAAACCGAGGCACCGCAUGGUGCCACAGUCAAAGAUUUAUCGGUAUGGGAUGGGCCCGCGUCUGAUUAGCUGGUUGGUAGGGUAAUGGCCUACCAAGGCGACGAUCAGUAGCCGACCUGAGAGGGUGAUCGGCCACACUGGAACUGAGACACGGUCC
RNAcentral lists this non-coding RNA (350 nucleotides) under delta proteobacterium ML8_F1. Its description in RNAcentral is "bacterial SSU rRNA". It matches the Rfam family "Bacterial small subunit ribosomal RNA", at positions 1 to 332 of the family's 1533-position model. Lineage: Bacteria; Deltaproteobacteria. The record is from RNAcentral.